Molecule: transfer RNA, 72 nt
Filed under: Codium arabicum
Lineage: Eukaryota; Viridiplantae; Chlorophyta; Ulvophyceae; Bryopsidales; Codiaceae
Also listed under: 2 other names
Description: tRNA-Phe
Rfam family: tRNA
About the family: Transfer RNA (tRNA) molecules are approximately 80 nucleotides in length.
Source: RNAcentral
GCCGGGAUAGCUCAGUGGUAGAGCAUAGUAUUGAAAAUUCUUGUGUCAUCGGUUCAAAUCCGAUUCCUGGCA